GACGAACGCUGGCGGCGUGCUUAACACAUGCAAGUCGAGCGAGAAACUUCGGUUUCUAGCGGCGGACGGGUGAGUAACACGUGGGCAACCUGCCUCACAAGGGGGGAUAGCCUUCCGAAAGGAAGAUUAAUACCGCAUAACACAAGGGAAACGCAUGUUUCUUUUGCCAAAGAAUUUCGUUGUGAGAUGGGCCCGCGGCGCAUUAGCUUGUUGGUGGGGUAACGGCUCACCAAGGCGACGAUGCGUAGCCGACCUGAGAGGGUGAUCGGCCACAUUGGAACUGAGACACGGUCCAGACUCCUACGGGAGGCAGCAGUGGGGAAUAUUGCACAAUGGAGGAAACUCUGAUGCAGCAACGCCGCGUGAGUGAUGAAGGUCUUCGGAUUGUAAAGCUCUGUCUUCUGGGACGAUAAUGACGGUACCAGAGGAGGAAGCCACGGCUAACUACGUGCCAGCAGCCGCAGUAA
Molecule: ribosomal RNA, 467 nt
Filed under: uncultured bacterium
Lineage: Bacteria
Description: partial 16S ribosomal RNA
Rfam family: Bacterial small subunit ribosomal RNA
Source: RNAcentral